UUUGGGCCGUUAGCUAGAAAACUUGAAAAUCCGUUGGCUUUAUUGACCGUGAGGGUUCAAGUCCCUCUACCCCCA
This 75-nucleotide transfer RNA is filed under the name Calliergonella cuspidata. RNAcentral describes it as "partial tRNA-Leu". The record is from RNAcentral. Lineage: Eukaryota; Viridiplantae; Streptophyta; Bryopsida; Hypnales; Pylaisiaceae.